Molecule: ribosomal RNA, 481 nt
Filed under: uncultured bacterium
Lineage: Bacteria
Description: partial 16S ribosomal RNA
Rfam family: Bacterial small subunit ribosomal RNA
Source: RNAcentral
GACGAACGCUGGCGGCGUGCUUAACACAUGCAAGUCGAACGGUGACGGAGAGCUUGCUCUCCUGAUCAGUGGCGAACGGGUGAGUAACACGUGGGCAAUCUGCCCCUGACUUCGGGAUAACGCUUCGAAAGAGGUGCUAAUACCGGAUACGAACUCGGCAGGCAUCUGCUGAGUUGGAAAGUUUUUCGGUCAGGGAUGAGCCCGCGGCCGAUUAGCUUGUUGGCGAGGUAACGGCUCACCAAGGCGACGACGGGUAGCCGGCCUGAGAGGGCGACCGGCCACACUGGGACUGAGACACGGCCCAGACUCCUACGGGAGGCAGCAGUGGGGAAUAUUGCGCAAUGGGCGAAAGCCUGACGCAGCAACGCCGCGUGAGGGAUGACGGCCUUCGGGUUGUAAACCUCUUUCAGCAGGGAAGAAGCGAAAGUGACGGUACCUGCAGAAGAAGCACCGGCUAACUACGUGCCAGCCGCCGCAGUAA